This 959-nucleotide non-coding RNA is filed under the name Heteromys gaumeri (Gaumer's spiny pocket mouse). Its description in RNAcentral is "12S ribosomal RNA". It matches the Rfam family "Bacterial small subunit ribosomal RNA". The record is from RNAcentral. Lineage: Eukaryota; Metazoa; Chordata; Mammalia; Rodentia; Heteromyidae.
AAAAGGUUUGGUCCUGGCCUUAUCAUUUGCUGUCAGUAAAAUUACACAUGCGAAUAUCCGUACACCAGUGAGUCAGCUCUAGAAAUAUACUAUAUCUAAGGAAGCGGGAGUUAAGUACACAUAAGAUGUAGCUAAAAAUACCCAGUCUAACCACGCCCCCACGGGUUACAGCAGUGAUAGAAAUUAAGAAAUGAGCGAAAGCUUGACUUAGUUAUACUGAUACAGGGCUUGGUAAAUUUCGUGCCAGCCACCGCGGUCAUACGAACGGCCCGAGUAAAUGAUGUACGGCGUAAAGAGUGCUAAGAAUGUAAAUUGUUCAGUAGAGUUAUAAUUUAGCUAUGCUGUAAAAAGCCCUAGCUUAAAUGAUAAUCAAUAACUAAAGUAACCCUAUUUAUACGUAGCACUAAAGCUAUGACCCAAACUGGGAUUAGAUACCCCACUAUGCAUAGCCAUAAACACAGAUUUAUUUACAAAACAAAUAAAUUCGCCAGAGAACUACGAGCCAUCGCUUAAAACUCAAAGGACUUGGCGGUGCUUUAUAUCCAUCCAGAGGAGCCUGUUCUGUAAUCGAUAAACCCCGAUAUACCUUACCAUUUCUUGCUAAAACAGUCUGUAUACCGCCAUCUUCAGCAAACCCUUAAAAGGUAGAAUAGUAAGCUUAAUUAUUAUAAAAUAAAAAAGUUAGGUCAAGGUGCAGCCUAUGAAAUGGAACGCAAUGGGCUACAUUUUCUAAUUAAGAACAUUAACGGACCCUUACAUGAAAUAUUGUAAGAUGAAGGAGGAUUUAGCAGUAAACUAAAGAUAGAGUAUUUAGUUGAAUAGAGCAAUGAAGCACGCACACACCGCCCGUCACCCUCCUCAACAUUUUAAUACAUUAAGAACAUAUCGCCCUGUAAACUAAAUUAAGAGGAGACAAGUCGUAACAAGGUAAGUGUACCGGAAAGUGCACUUGGAAUAAU